RNAcentral lists this ribosomal RNA (821 nucleotides) under uncultured eukaryote. RNAcentral's name for it is "SSU rRNA". It matches the Rfam family "Eukaryotic small subunit ribosomal RNA", at positions 629 to 1426 of the family's 1831-position model. The record is from RNAcentral.
CGGUGUUUAACUGGCGUGAUGUGGGACGUCCUACCGGUGGGCUUAGCCUCGCGAGGGGCGGCCCAACUAAUAUCCCGUCGCGGUGCUCUUUACUGAGUGUCGAGUCGGGCCGGUACGUUUACUUUGAACAAAUUAGAGUGCUUAAAGCAGGGCUAUCCUCGCCUGAAUACUGCGUGCAUGGAAUAAUGGAAUAGGACCUCGGUUCUAUUUUGUUGGGUUUUCGGAACCCCGAGGUAAUGAUUAAUAGGGACAGAUGGGGGCAUUCGUAUUGCGACGUUAGAGGUGAAAUUCUUGGAUCGUCGCAAGACGGACAGAAGCGAAAGCAUUUGCCAAAAAUGUUUUCAUUAAUCAAGAACGAAAGUUAGAGGUUCGAAGGCGAUCAGAUACCGCCCUAGUUCUAACCAUAAACGAUGCCAGCUAGCGAUCCGCCGAAGUUCCUCCGAUGACUCGGCGGGCAGCUUCCGGGAAACCAAAGCUUUUGGGUUCCGGGGGAAGUAUGGUUGCAAAGCUGAAACUUAAAGGAAUUGACGGAAGGGCACCACCAGGAGUGGAGCCUGCGGCUUAAUUUGACUCAACACGGGAAACCUCACCAGGCCCAGACACCGGAAGGAUUGACAGAUUGAUAGCUCUUUCUUGAUUCGGUGGGUGGUGGUGCAUGGCCGUUCUUAGUUGGUGGAGCGAUUUGUCUGGUUAAUUCCGAUAACGAACGAGACUCUAGCCUGCUAAAUAGGCGUACCUUAUGGUAUCGCGAAGGCCCCCGGCUUCGGCCGGUGGGUUUUUACUACCAACGUACAAACAAAUCUUCUUAGAGGGACAGGCGG